RNAcentral lists this ribosomal RNA (465 nucleotides) under uncultured bacterium. RNAcentral describes it as "partial 16S ribosomal RNA". It matches the Rfam family "Bacterial small subunit ribosomal RNA", at positions 28 to 507 of the family's 1533-position model. The record is from RNAcentral.
GAUGAACGCUGGCGGCGUGCUUAACACAUGCAAGUCGUACGGUAAGGCCCUUUCGGGGGUACACGAGUGGCGAACGGGUGAGUAACACGUGAGUAACCUGCCCACAACUUUGGGAUAACGCUAGGAAACUGGUGCUAAUACUGGAUAUGUGCUCCUGCUGCAUGGUGGGGGUUGGAAAGCUCCGGCGGUUGUGGAUGGACUCGCGGCCUAUCAGCUUGUUGGUGGGGUAGUGGCCUACCAAGGCGGCGACGGGUAGCCGGCCUGAGAGGGUGACCGGCCACAUUGGGACUGAGAUACGGCCCAGACUCCUACGGGAGGCGGCAGUGGGGAAUAUUGCACAAUGGGCGCAAGCCUGAUGCAGCAACGCCGCGUGCGGGAUGACGGCCUUCGGGUUGUAAACCGCUUUCAGCAGGGACGAAGCUUUUUGUGACGGUACCUGCAGAAGAAGCACCGGCUAACUACGUG